UGCCAUGUAGCUUAGACGGUAGAAGCGCCAACCUUAUAAGUUGGAGAUAGUGGGAUCAUUACCCAUCAUGGCUACAA
Molecule: transfer RNA, 77 nt
Filed under: Bacteriophage sp.
Description: tRNA-Ile
Rfam family: tRNA
About the family: Transfer RNA (tRNA) molecules are approximately 80 nucleotides in length. Their secondary structure includes four short double-helical elements and three loops (D, anti-codon, and T loops).
Source: RNAcentral